CGUCUCAGUUCGGAUUGUAGUCUGCAACUCGACUACAUGAAGCUGGAAUCGCUAGUAAUCGCGAAUCAGAAUGUCGCGGUGAAUACGUUCCCGGGUCUUGUACACACCGCCCGUCACACCAUGGGAGUCAGUAACGCCCGAAGUCAGUGACCCAACCAUAACCGGGAGGGGAGCUGCCGAAGGUGGGACCGAUAACUGGGGUGAAGUCGUAACAAGGUACC
RNAcentral lists this ribosomal RNA (221 nucleotides) under uncultured bacterium. Its description in RNAcentral is "partial 16S ribosomal RNA". It matches the Rfam family "Bacterial small subunit ribosomal RNA", at positions 1284 to 1500 of the family's 1533-position model. The record is from RNAcentral.